UGAUCCAGCCAUGCCGCGUGAGUGAUGAAGGCCUUCGGGUGUAAAGCUCUUUCACCCGUGACGAUGAUGACGGUAGCGGGAGAAGAAGCCCCGGCUAACUCCGUGCCAGCAGCCGCGGUAAUACGGAGGGGGCAAGCGUUGUUCGGAAUUACUGGGCGUAAAGGGCGCGUAGGCGGCCUGUUGCGUCAGGUGUGAAAUCCCCGGGCUCAACCUGGGAAUGGCACUUGAUACGGGCAGGCUGGAAUCCGGGAGAGGAUGGUGGAAUUCCCAGUGUAGAGGUGAAAUUCGUAGAUAUUGGGAAGAACACCGAUGGCGAAGGCAGCCAUCUGGACCGGUAUUGACGCUGAGGCGCGACAGCGUGGGGAGCAAACAGGAUUAGAUACCCUGGUAGUCCACGCCGUAAACGAUGUGCGCUAGCCGUCGGGCAGCAUGCUGUUCGGUGGCGCAAGCUAACGCGUUAAGCGCACCGCCUGGGGAGUACGGCCGCAAGGUUA
This 494-nucleotide ribosomal RNA is filed under the name uncultured Pseudomonadota bacterium. Its description in RNAcentral is "bacterial SSU rRNA". It matches the Rfam family "Bacterial small subunit ribosomal RNA", at positions 384 to 896 of the family's 1533-position model. Lineage: Bacteria; Pseudomonadati; Pseudomonadota. The record is from RNAcentral.